Molecule: ribosomal RNA, 301 nt
Filed under: uncultured bacterium
Lineage: Bacteria
Description: bacterial SSU rRNA
Rfam family: Bacterial small subunit ribosomal RNA
Source: RNAcentral
GUGCCAGCAGCCGCGGCGGUAAUACGGAGGGUCCGAGCGUUAAUCGGAAUUACUGGGCGUAAAGCGUGCGCAGGCGGUUCGUUAAGCGAGAUGUGAAAGACCUGGGCUCAACCUAGGAAUCGCAUUUCGAACUGACCAACUAGAGUCUUGUAGAGGGGGGUAGAAUUCCAGGUGUAGCGGUGAAAUGCGUAGAGAGCUGGAGGAAUACCGGCGGCGAAGGCGGCCCCCUGGACAAAGACUGACGCUCAUGGACGAAAGCGUUGGGAGAAGACAGGAUAAGAUACCCUGGUCGUCCACGCCG